This 406-nucleotide ribosomal RNA is filed under the name uncultured bacterium. Its description in RNAcentral is "partial 16S ribosomal RNA". It matches the Rfam family "Bacterial small subunit ribosomal RNA", at positions 30 to 526 of the family's 1533-position model. The record is from RNAcentral.
AUUGAACGCUGGCGGCAGGCCUAACACAUGCAAGUCGAGCGAGCGGCGGACGGGUGAGUAAGGUCUGGGAAACUGCCUGAUGGAGGGGGAUAACUACUGGAAACGGUAGCUAAUACCGCAUACCAUCAGAUGUGCCCAGAUGGGAUUAGCUAGUAGGUGGGGUAACGGCUCACCUAGGCGACGAUCCCUACCUGGUCUUAGAGGAUGACCAGCCACCCUGGACCUGAGACACGGUCGAGACUCCUACGGGAGGCAGCAGUGGGGAAUAUUGCACAAUGGGCGCAAGCCUGAUGCAGCCAUGCCGCGUGUGUGAAGAAGGCCUUCGGGUCGUAAAGCACUUUCAGCGGGGAGGCGUUAACCGCAGAAGAAGCCCAGGCUAACUCCGUGCCAGCAGCCGCGGUAAUAC